AGCGAACGCUGGCGGCAGGCUUAAUACAUGCAAGUCGAGCGCCCGUAGCAAUACGGGAGCGGCAGACGGGUGAGUAACACGUGGGAACAUGCCCUUCGGUUCGGAAUAACUCAGGGAAACUUGAGCUAAUACCGGAUACGCCCUUACGGGUAAAGGAUUAUCGCCGAAGGAUUGGCCCGCCGUCCGAUUAGCUAGUUGGUGAGGUAACGGCUCACCAAGGCGACGAUCGGUAGCUGGCUGAGAGGAUGAUCAGCCACACUGGGACUGAGACACGGCCCAGACUCCUACGGGAGGC
Molecule: ribosomal RNA, 295 nt
Filed under: uncultured bacterium
Lineage: Bacteria
Description: partial 16S ribosomal RNA
Rfam family: Bacterial small subunit ribosomal RNA
Source: RNAcentral